UGAACGCUGGCGGCGUGCUUAACACAUGCAAGUCGAACGGAGUUUUAACGGAAGUUUCGGAUGGAAGUUAAGAACUAGUGGCGGACGGGUGAGUAACGCGUGGGUAACCUGCCUCAUACAGGGGGAUAACAGUUAGAAAUGACUGCUAACACCGCAUAAUAUAGCGAAACCGCAUGAUUUUGCUAUCAAAUAUUUAUAGGUAUGAGAUGGGCCCGCGUCUGAUUAGCUAGUUGGUGGGGUAAAAGCCUACCAAGGCGACGAUCAGUAGCCGGCUUGAGAGAGUGACCGGCCACAUUGGGACUGAGACACGGCCCAAACUCCUACGGGAGGCAGCAGUGGGGAAUAUUGGACAAUGGGGGAAACCCUGAUCCAGCGAACCGCCGCGUGAGUGAAGAAGUAUUUCGGUAUGUAAAGCUCUAUCAGCAGGGAAGAUAAUGACAGUACCUGACUAAGAAGCCCCGGCUAACUACGUGCCAGCCGCAGC
This 484-nucleotide ribosomal RNA is filed under the name uncultured bacterium. RNAcentral's name for it is "bacterial SSU rRNA". It matches the Rfam family "Bacterial small subunit ribosomal RNA", at positions 30 to 518 of the family's 1533-position model. The record is from RNAcentral.